RNAcentral lists this ribosomal RNA (301 nucleotides) under uncultured bacterium. RNAcentral describes it as "partial 16S ribosomal RNA". It matches the Rfam family "Bacterial small subunit ribosomal RNA", at positions 509 to 807 of the family's 1533-position model. The record is from RNAcentral.
CAGCCGCCGCGGUAAUACGUAGGGUGCAAGCGUUAAUCGGAAUUACUGGGCGUAAAGCGUGCGCAGGCGGUUCGUUAAGACAGAUGUGAAAUCCCCGGGCUUAACCUGGGAACUGCAUUUGUGACUGGCGAGCUAGAGUAUGGCAGAGGGGGGUAGAAUUCCACGUGUAGCAGUGAAAUGCGUAGGGAUGUGGAGGAAUACCGAUGGCGAAGGCAGCCCCCUGGGCCAAUACUGACGCUCAUGCACGAAAGCGUGGGGAGCAAACAGGAUUAGAGACCCGUGUAGUCCCUGUCUCUUAUAC